This 20581-nucleotide long non-coding RNA is filed under the name Theobroma cacao (cacao). Its description in RNAcentral is "long non-coding RNA (TCAC_LNC003611)". Lineage: Eukaryota; Viridiplantae; Streptophyta; Magnoliopsida; Malvales; Malvaceae. The record is from RNAcentral.
AAAUGUAGCCAAGACCUCCACGUAAAACGAAACUGCACACAUCAGCCUCAGUCAUGGGUUUAAUGAUGCUCUUCCAUACAAAAGAUUGCUUGUUUAUCCUCCUUGAUGCGUGCUUUGACAAAACUUCUACCACAGACAUGCCAAUGAAGGUUUGCAGCUGCGAAGUAAUUGUUCUGAAGAAAACCUUAUCGGGGUUUUUCUCAAGUUCAGCAUAUUCAGGAGUGCCUUUCUCAGGCAUGAGCCUACGACUUAGUGUUGGACGGUUUAGGGAGUAGCCUGCAUAGGCGAAUUGUCCGAAGGUGACAGCUGCAUGGGGAGCAGAAGCAAUCCAUAUGAUAAUGGUGCAAGAUUCUAUCAGCUCUUCACGAGUUUGCAUUUUAGGCCACCAUGGCUAAUCUUUCUUGUAACCAUGACCCACCUCUCGGAGUUCCUUCCACUAGGCUUGAACCUCAGGGUCCUGUUGAACCAUUCCAUCCGUCUUAUAGUAGAAGGAGCAAUAGUCUUUCACCCAUUUUUCAAUGGCAAACCAGAUUUUCAACCCAUCAACAGCAUAUGGAUAGUCUUUUAUCAGUAGUCGAAGACCAUGUAGGGAAUUUGCAUCAUCAACUGCAAUUCCUCUGAAUAUAUAUAGAGAAUAGAAGACGAUUGAUGUCAUUUCCAUUAAAGCAUAUUAUAUAUAUAGAGAGAGGAUUCAAUUCAUUUGUCAUUAAGACUCUGAUUACCUUUUCUUGAGAUCACUGGGGAGUGCUUGGUCAAAGAAAUUCCAACUCUUAUAGAUUUCUGAUGACAUCUCCAUGGAAUAUUUUCCCGAGCAAAAUGUUAUCUUUAUUACUCCACCUGCAUUCACAAGAAGUUCCCUGGCCAAUGCAUUAAUAGUCAUGGUGUCACGAAAGUGAGGGUGGAGAAGCUUAUAAAUUAGAUGAACCACACUCAACUGCUUGUUUGUUGCAAUCACGAAUGGCUCUAAAACUGCAUGAGUGUUCAACCUACAGAGACCAAAGUAGUCAAAGACACACAAAUUAACUACAAACUGAUUACUAAUUUUGCUAAUAUAUAAAAAAAACCUAAGCCUAUAUUGACAGGUUUUUACCAAUGGCUUAUCAACUGAUGAUGAGCACAAUCGUUGAUAGCUACAAAAGCUUUAGCAAAUUGCCAAAUAGAACCCUCAACUCCAUGUUCCAUUGGAGUAUACACCUUGCUAACAACACCAAAUUUAUCCCCUGUUGGAUGUGGCAAGCUCAAUUCAAUUGCUGAUUCUUAUAUUCAUAGUCGGUGUGGAAGUGGAUCCAUAAAUUCUUAAAACCGAAACUUCAUUCACUCUUUCACCUUCAAAAUUUCAAACAAUUGAAUUUAAUAAUAAACUCAAAAUUCAUAAACAUUUCGGCUUCACUACAACUAAAGAGUAGCUAAUCAAACGUUUCAGAAUUUACUCAACAAUAAAGAGACUAUUAAAAAUCCGAAAAAAAAAAUAAAAAAGAAGUCGUACCUUGAAAGCUACUAUAGCAAGUAUCGUAGCCGGAGAUGGGCAGUGCCAUGUAAUGAUCGAUGGACACGAUUCGAACGCUGAAAUCGUUCGAAUCCGGCUGCGAAUUCGACAUUUAAAUUUCUUUUUAUUCACAAAAAAACCGAAUUGAGAUCAAGAUUGAAAGAUUUCUUUUCUUUUUCCUUUUUUGAAUUUCUUUUCCGCAAAAUUUGAAUAGAGAAGUUGCAGUGGAAUAAAAUUUUUUUACUUGGUGCCAGUUUUUCUUUUGUGGGGGGUUUUAUAGAACAGGAGAAACUUUCAUUAGCUUCUCGGGUACUGCAACGAAUUAGAUUCAAGUCCUUGUACUUUCACUAAUUUACACUUUGACCUUAUAUUUUAAAAUUAUGAAAUUCUGAAUUUUUCUUGUGUAACGUCGUACUCUUUCCAUCUCUAAACAUUUGUUUUUUCUUAAUUUAUAAAAAUUAAAUAAAAAAUUUGAUUUUAAUAUAUUUUGUAUUAAAAUUUGAAAAAUUUUUAUAAUAUAUAAAUAUCAUACUAUAAAAAAUUGUGAAAAAUGAACAAAAAAUGAAAAAAAAAGAGACAAAGAAAUAUAUUUGUACCCUAUAACUUUUCUCUUUGUGAAAAAUGGGUUUUGGGUUUUUGUUCUUUCCGAUUUUGUCACUAUGUAUAAAGUCUAAAGUAUCUCUCAAAACAUUAGAAUUGUAAAAGAUCUAAAUGCUCAUUAAUAACAUUUAGCUUGCUUAAACAUUUAAUUUAUCAAUGUUAUUGAUUAAUGAUGGAUUUAAUUAAGCAUAACUAAAUUUCAAAUUAAUCAAAAGUCCAAUUAGAAAGAUUGACACACGCACAAAACUUACAAUAAUCAUAAAUCAUAAUCUCAUUAAAUAAAUACACAUUUACUCAUUGAAUAGUGACGGAGAAAAGAGGUCUUUGACUCUGCCAAUAUUUUUAAAGAAAACACAAUACACUCCCAUUGCAAAUUUUGUUGAUGAGUUGCAAUGAUAGCAACCUUUAUUUUCUUUUAGGACGAGGACAGCUAUAAACUAGAACCUAUGGAUACCACCACUUUUACCAUUUGGGCUAAGCCCAAGUAGCAAUACCAAUAUUUGUUUUCAUAGAUUUUGCAAAGAAGCUCUUUAGAUUGAGACACUGUUGGGAAUUCCCUUGCCAGUGACUCCACUUUCACUGGUAGGGAACAGUAGAGUGUAUGGCACAUUGACUGGGCCAGAACGAUUCUUCAAUGUCUUAUCAUGGUUCAUCUGAAUAAUCCUUUGCUCAAUCUGUGAAAGCUUGUUUCCGAAAUCAUUGAAAGCUUUCAAUGGUGCUGCAUCAGUUGUCCAUUUAUCAGGGUCGCUUCUUUGUCCGAGGUACACCUCGUCUGGAGAAUGCUUGGACAGGAUUUCUAUCAGGGAAACGCCGAGGAGAGUCAUCAGCUGGGAAGUAACUAUUUUCAGGAAAACCCUUUCGAAGUUGGUUUCGAGCUCAGCAUAUUCAGGACUGCCUUUUUCAGGCAUGAACAUACGGCUGAUGGUAGGGCGGUUUGGAAGGUAGCCCGCGUAAGGGUAUUGCCCAAAGUUGACAGCUGCAUGGAGAGCAGAAGCAACCCAUAUUAUAAUGGUGCAGGAAUGAAUCAGCUCUUCGAGAGUCUGCAUGCUAGGCCACCAUGGCUCAUCUUUCUUGUCACCAUGACCUCUCUCUCGAAGUUCUUUCCACCAGGCUUGAAGUUCAGGGUCUUGUUGAACCAUUGCAUCAGACUUGUAGUAGAAGGAGCAAUAGUCUCUGACCCAUUUUUCAAUUGCAAACCAGAUCUCUAGCCCGUCAACAGCAUAAGGAUAGUCUUUUAUCAGUAGGCGAAGACCACGUGGUGAAUUCUUGUCAUCAACAGCAAUUCCUCUGGAUAGAGAAGCAUGGAAAUUAAGCUAUCAGUCCACUAAUUAUCGAUGAACAUUUCCUUUUCACCACUUUGGAGCUAUAAGAUUUUACCUCUUCUUGAGAUCAACGGGGAGAGCCUGCUCAAGGAAAUUCCAACUCUUGUAAAUUGCAGAUGACAUCUCCAUGGCAUAUUUUCCAGGGAAAACCGUCAACUCUAGAAUGUCAUUUGCAUUAAUCAAAGUUUGCCUAGCCAAUGCAUUUAUAUUCAUUGUGUCACGGAAAUGAGGUUGGAGAAGCUUAUAAAUUGGAUGAACCACGCUUAGCUGCCUGUUUGUUGCAAUCACAAAUGGCUCAAUCACUGCAUGAGUGUUCAACCUGUGACCAAAACCCGAAGGCAUUAAAAACCCCUCUGUUCAACUUAAAAACUUACCCUUCAUUGACAGAUUCCAUACCAGUGGCUUAUAAGCUGAUGAUAACCAGAGUCAUUCACAGCCACAUAAGCUUUAGCCAAUUGCCAUAUGCUACCCUCAACUCCCUCUUCUGCCGGCGUGUACACCUUGCUGACACAACCAUAUAUAUCAGCCUCUGGAUGUGGAUAACUUAAUUCGAUUGCUAAUGGCUUCAAAGUCCCAUCAGCAGUCAAAAAGAGAAGUGUCCUGGACGCAUAAGUUUUUGUAGUGGUAGUGUUUAUCCUCCUCAGGUAUGGCAUCAACGAAUCAUGAUGAUCCAAUAUGAAUAGCUUGUUGCCCAUUAAUGCCUGUGAAUCAAACCCCCUUUCAGUUUCAUGAUUUAUGGUGUGAUAAAAAAAUCAGAUGUGAAGCAUAUUACCUGUUCUAUAGUGUAUCCACCCAGGUUACACUCUAUGUGUUCUUUCCUUAUGAGACUGUUUUGGUUACCGUAUAUUUUAGGAUCUAGCUUGCUUUUGGGAGGAAAUUCCUGCAAAUCGAUUCAGGGUCGGUUACAAAACUUCUUCACCAUUGAGAAAAGACAGGAAAAUUAGAAAGAAAAUGACUCUAAAGUUUUCAGGCUUAAGCUUACUUCAAGACGACGAAUAACAACAGGGUUCACUCCAGCAAGCAUUUCUCUAGCGAAUUCUGCAUCUGUUCGCCAUGCACUUUUACUGUCUGCUCAUUGAUUGAAAUUGCAAAGUAAAUUAAUGGCUAGGCGAAAUAGUAUUGCUAAUUAAUUAAACACAUCUCUUCAACCGUUUAUGACUUGACAGAUGAUUUUAUCAAAUCUGACGUGCAACGAAACCAAGAUAUGAUGCAUUCAAAUAGUUACUAUACGUUCUAUACCUUGAAUAACUUGAGGCACAGGAUAAUCGAGUAGUUGCUUUAGCUUCUCGUUGGGGAUCAGGUUUCUGAUAUCACCUCCAUAGUAGAGUACUCUCAGAACUUCAUUAAAAGAGUCGAACUCUUUUGGUGGAUUGCCACAAAAAGCUUCGAAAAUUGGAAAGAUAUUUUGAGGUAAGGCACUGAGUCCAUUGCCGACAAAGUCUAACAACUUCACGUGACCAAAUUUGUCAUCUCUCGGAACGUAAAUGAACAAGCUCAUUGGGAGUGGCAGCCUGCUCUCGCAACUAUUAUCUGAUAAGAAACAGAAACAUUAUCAGAUCAUACUCAAGAUAAAGAAAACACCCCAUAACUCAUCCGAAAUGUAAAUCUCUAACCUGUUUUGGUCGGUGGUCUGCCUGUUCUUCCCCUACGGGGAUAAGGAUACUCGCUACUCCCUCCAAGAGUCUGGCGUUGAUAAUCUGGACCCUUAUCAGGAUCCCCCAAAUCAUUGUACAAAGCAUAGUCAUAGACGCGGUCCCAUUCUUUGAGCUCUCCUUCACCAUUUCCUCUCAAGACCCUUAGCUCUUCCUCUCUGUACUUACGAAGUGGUCCUGGCAUUUCAUUCGGAAGAUACGUCUGCACAAAUAUAAUACCAAAAACACUUUAUAUUUCACUCUAUCUAAUGGAAACAUUAGUAACGUAAUCUUGAUCACGGCAGAAUUACUUGCCUUGUUAGCGAAGAAAACGCGAUCGCUUUGGUAUUUUUCGUCAGGGUAGACCCAAGAGUUACAAACAAAGUGGAUUGGACCUCGACCAGGAACAUCGUCGAGUGUGACGGUCUUGAGGUAGAAUUCACCAUGGUGAGCAUUUCGUACUAAGAUAGCUCCCGGGGUGCCGAGGUCCUCAUCCCAAGCAAAGCUAACGGUGAACUUACAGUCCCCUAAUACCGGUGUAAAAUUCCAGUUCUGUAAAUAAGCCGGAGCUCCCAUCUUUCCUCCCAACAUAUUUGCUACAAAUUAAGGCACAUCGGCAAAAUAUGUCAAAAGCACUCUCAAAAACAUAAUUUGAUUGAUUAUUAACAAUGAUUAUAUAAAUAUCGAUUCGAGUUUAUUGUAUGAAUCAGUGCAACAUUAUAGUUAAAUAAAUAAAAUUAAAUUACCAUACAGUUAGGAUGUUGUUAAAUUUAUAAUAUUUAUUAAUUUGAUUUUUUUUUAAAUUAUUGAGAAUCUCUAUUAAGUUAAAUUUUUAUUUGAUUUUAACCGAUAAAAAAAGUUAUUCAUAAUUUGAUUUAAUAACCGUAUAAUAUUUUCUUUGUCUUUUACAUUUUUUUUGUCGAGUUAAAAAAUAAAAAAUAAAAAACAUUUUGGGAUGGAAGCAAAUAAUUGAAUAUUUUUAUCCAAAUAUUUUUUGUCCCAUUAGUAUAAAUUAAAUUACAUCUAUAAAAUUACAAAAUAAUUUAGAGUAAAGACAAAUAUGCAUCAUCUUAUCAAGACAAGAGAAUGAAGAUGAUGUCUGGGUGUACAUGCUUUUCUUAAGCACGUGCUGUCAAGCUUUGGUCUGACAGCUGGCUUUCCAAUUACCAACAUCCAAGGUUGCCAUCUUAAUUAAAUUAACUAAACUCUUGCAACUAACUUUUAAAAUAUCACAUGAAAUUAUUAAAUCUCAAAAGUUUUAUAAUAAAACUCAAAUUUUUUAAUUUUUAUACUUUUAACAAAGUUAUAUAUAUAUAUAUAUGUAUGUAUAUAACAAAGUAAUAAAUCAGUAAAAAAUAAUUAGUUAAAAUUUUCAAUAAUCGUCAAUAAUUAGUAUGGUAAAGUUCAUGAUUAUAUAAAAACUUGUAAGUUUUAUUAUUUUUGUUUGAAAUAAUUAAGAAAAAAUAAUAUGAAAUCUCAUGCGAUUAUAUGCUAAAUUAGGGCUAUAAUAUGUAAAUUAUAUAUAUUAUGAAUUUAAGCAUUUGCUUAAAUUAAACAUAUGUACAAAAAGAACUUUGAAAGAAAGUUAAAGAAUAUAUAAAUAUAUUCUCUCUAUCUAUAUGUAUAUAUAGAUAUAUAUGUAUAUACAAAGAAUAUAUACAAAAUUAUAUAUAUAUAUAUAUAUGUAUGUAUAUAACAAAGUAAUAAAUCANUUAUAUUCAGUUUAAAUUUUUUCUUUUUGUUGUCUACAUUAAUUGAUGCAUUUUUAUUGUUAUAACCCUCAAUCAUUUUUUUAAUCGUUUUCAUUAUCUUUUGAAAUUAUUUCAAUACAUAAAAUAGAAAACAAACAUAUGUACUUAUACAUAUAUGUAUAUGUGUGUGUGUGUAUAUAUAUAUUCAUGUGUGAUUUAUCUCUCAUGAUCAAUUUUAUUCUCAAACAACAUGCUCACAUUUAUUCUUGUCUUUUCUUCAAAAAUUAUUACUCAAAUUCUAGCAUGAUCUCAAACUCAACACUCCUCGCAUAUUGUAAAGUAUGUUGAUUUUCACGUGCUCAGUAAUGUUAUUUACACUUUUUCUUCACCUUUUACAAGUUCAAUGUUUUGUUUAAAUUAUUAAGCUUAUCUAAUUUUGUUCUCAUUUUAUUACUUUGUUUGCAAUUUAUGCUUUUAGUGAAAUAUUCAUUUUUUUUCUAACGUUCUACUUAGGGUAAGAUUUUGUUUUGGUAUCUAUGCUUGCUUGUUGACAUGUUUAUUAUUUAUUAUUGGUACUUUUUAAUCAUCUUUCAAUAACAUCUUUCAAUAUCUUUUUUUUUUUUUUUUUUGAAUAAAAAAGUUUAUGCAUUUUUUUUAUAAAAAAAUGCACAUAUAAUCAUCGACGGAGCUAAGGUUGUGACGGUCACCAUCUCUCAAUUUUUAAUUUUUUUUAUUAUUAUGUAUAUAAAACUUGAGAUAUAUAAUAUGAUUAUUUUUAUAAUUAUUCUUUAAUCACUUCUCAUGUGAAAUCUUAAAUCCAUCACUGCAUACAAUAAGAUUCUAAAAAUUAUACUCGACGAAAGGUUAUCUUGUCCCUCUCAUCCAUAAAAUCUCAUAAUUUGGUUUCGAAUUUUGAAUUCGAAACUUAUAACAUGAAUUCUUUUAAGAUUGAUUGUAAAUCAUAUGUCAUGCAAGGAACUCAUCGAUUAAUUUUUAUUCAUCAAGUAAUUAAAUUGCGAUGAGACACCUCUAUCUAGUUUUUCACUAGUAGUUUUAGUGGAUUUUAAAUUUUAUCAACAAAGAAGUGAUAGAGCACCCAUUAUUUAAGGUUUAUUGGCUACCAAAAUAUUGAUUAUUCAUUCCGUGUCAAUCGUAUUUUAACACACUCUAUAUAUAUAUAAUUGAAAAGAAAAGCACUUAAAACAAAACGUCUUAAAAAAAAUAAAACACGUUACAAUAUAUUAGAAUACAUUCUUUGCAUAAAAAACAUAAGAGCUGGGACAUUCGGAUAGGACACAGAUAAUCACCAACGAAAGACAUAACACCGUAUAUGCCUGAUCACCAAAACACAUUGAAAAUGAUCCGAAGUAUUGCAUUACCCACCAUAUUUUUUUGGAUAUAAAAAAAAUCAAAAUUGGAAUUGGACCACUUUUAGUUUUAUUUUUCUAAAGUUUAUUUUUUUGGAUAACUCUUUUUUCUGUCCGCAAAUAAUGCAACAAAGUUUUGUUUUUUGGAAAGAUAAAUCAUAAAUUUUGUGUUUGUGUUCACAUAAAAUGUUGGACCACUUUAUUUUUGUCUGUUAUAUAUAUAAAAACAAAAAAGUAUAUAUAAAGACAACAUACAUAAAGAGUUAAAGACAGAGGAGAGGCAAUGCAUAUAUAAAAACAAAAAAGUAAAUGCCCUGAGAAGUUUUUGUCAAUAACCCCUCAAAUGAAGAAGUUUGGGACCAAUUUGGAUGCCAAUAUUUUUCAGUAUUUAUUACUAAAAAAAUUAGAGCAAAAAUGCACCAAAAAAAAUUCAUGUUGCAAAAGGGUAAAAUAUUAAGUUUUCUCCUAUUUUCUUUAUUGUAAUUAAGUAACAUAGUGAAAGACAUGAAAUAUUAAAAAUGGAAAUCAUGCCAUAAAUUGUAUAUUACUACUAAAUUAGUGUUAAUUUAAAAUGUUGGACUGUUAUUUUUUUUGGUUAAAUCAAAAGAAUAAAUCUGUCAUGCUGCCAAUACGUUAUUGUGUAGUGCUGAGCGAUACAGGCAUUUUCUUAUGUCAAUGAAAGUCUUUUGCCAUACACAUUAAAGAUUUUGUAUGAUAUUCUAACAUUGGAAAAAUAAAAAUAUGCUUUUUUUAAAAAAAAAAUAAAAUUCUAAGACUAAAUCAAAAUAAACCAGAAAUUCGUCUAAAAAACCAUAACAAAUAUUGGAUCGUUAUUUGUUCAUUAUAAAUUCAUAAUUAAGUUAUAUAAUCAAAUAUAUAAAAUUUUUCAAAUGAAGGCAAAAGUUAUAUAUCUAUCAAGACAGCGAAAAGAUAGCAAUAGAUUGGGCAAAUUUAUAUGUGUUGUUUGUGAAUCAUUUAAUAAAGAACAAGAGUAACCCAACACUAAUACUCAAAUAUUUAAUUCAUUGGUUGAUGCAUACUUCUUUUACCGAAAAAGUAGAGUUUGAAUUCUCUUCCUUCAAUUAUAAGAAAGAAAAACAUAAAUAAGCCAACACUAUUUAGGUGAGGCCGAUGGAGAUGAUUCUCUUAACAUUUUUUAGCAUUUAUUACCAAAAGAUUUUUAUUGUGGAUCUCUUUUUAUCACCACACCAUUUGUUAUUGUAUCAUUUCAGUCAUAAUCAAUUAUCUUUAAGAAUUUCCUUCUAUACUUACUUAAACUCAUUCUAACCAAAUAGACGAUUGGCUUACCUCAUAUCUAUCAUAAAUUAAGUUAUAUGAAAAAUUGUUCAGUGUUCACAUAAAAUAUUGGAUCCCUUUUUUAUUUAUCUUAAAUUAAAUAACACAACAAAAGAUAAACAUAUUUCUGAAAGAAAGACAGGAUUGGAUCAAACCUGUGUGUAACUCUGAAUCAAAAAACCCAACUUAGAUGAGAUGCUUGGGGACCAGCUUCGGACAUUUUCAAGGAUAUGGCAAAGAGCCACGUGAUGCAUGUGUUCUCUGACCAUAUUCUAGCAGUGUGAUCAAAAUUAAGCCAUUAAUUUUUCCUCUUAGUGCAGCAAUGGUCAAAAGAUAGUGAAGCCUCUCCCAUUCCUGAUCAGUGUUGUGGGUUAACUGUCAGAUAUGUUGUUGUAUUUAGAAGGUUAGGAAUUUUGCUUUUUAUUUUGUUUUGGGUCAUAAAGUCUCCCACUCUUGAUCCGGAAGACUUUCAUAUUUCUCUGCAAGUACUACUGGAACCUUGCUUUUUGUUAUUCUCUUUUGUGAGAAAUUAUGAAUAAUAAUAUUUUUAUCUUUCAAAAAAAAAAAAAUUCUGAUCAGUGUGGAAGGGAGGAUAAUUUUUGCAUGGCACGGAGAAUUUCUAACUUCGGUAUGGCAUAUGAAAUUGGGGUUCAAGACUGACAAUUGAGAGUGACUCCUCUUGAUAGUGUGAAGGAGACCAGCUCAAUUUCAAGCAAAUACUCCAAAAAAAUUUUCUCCUCAUUAAUUAUUUGCCGGUAGUCAAGUGUGUUGCACAUUCAAUCUGUCCAUAUGUAUAAGUCCAUGUCUCGAAUAAUUGUUGAAUUCAAUUUUUCAUAUGUGUAAGGAGAAAUCAAGAUAUCAAGAUGACUAGAUAAAUGGUGUGUAUUUAAUAAACGUGAUUGAUUUUUUGCAUAUUUUCAAAGAAUCAAUUAAUGUCUUCAUAAGUUUUUUAAUUAGAUGUCUAACUUUUGCAUGACAUAUGCAGUGGAAUUAAUUUCCAAGACUUUACAACAUGAUAGCGACUCCUCUUGGUAGUGUUAAGACCUACCAUAAAAUAUUGGAUCCUUUUUUUAUUUAUCAUAAAUUAAAUAACACAACAAAAGAUAAACAUAUUUCUGAAAAAAAGACAGGAUUGGAUCAACCUGUGUGUAACUGUGAAUCAAAAAACACAAUUUAGAUGAGAUGCUUGGGGACCAGCUUGGGACAUUUUCGAGGAUAUGGCAAAGAGCCACGUGAUGCAUGUGUUCUCUGACCAUUUUCUAGCAGUGUGAUCGAAAUUAAGCCUUCACUUUUUCCUCUUAGUGCAGCAAUGGUCAAAAGAUAGUGGAAGCCCCUCUCAUUCCUGAUUAGUGUCGUGGGUUAACUGUCAAAUAUGAUGUUGUAUUUAGAAGGUUAGGAAUUUUGCUUUUUAUUUUGUUUUGGGUCAUAAAGUCUCCAACUCUUGAUCUUGAAGACUUUCAUAUUUUUCUGCAAGUACUACUGGAACCUUAUUUUUUAUUAUUCUUUUUUGUGAGAAAUUAUGAAUAAUAAUAUUUUUAUCUUUCAAAAAAAAAUUCUGAUCAGUGUGGAAGAGAGGAUAAUUUUUGCAUGGCAUGGAGAAUUUCUAACUUUUGUAUGGCAUAUGAAAUUGGGGUUCAAGACUGACAAUUGAGAGCGACUCCUCUUGAUAGUGUGAAGGAGACCAGCUCAAUUUCAAGCAAAUACUCCAAAACAAUUUUCUCCUCAUUAAUUAUUUUUUUUUUCGGUAGUCAAGUGUGUUGCACAUUCAAUCUGUCCAUAUGUAUAAGUCCAUGUCUCGAAUAAUUGUUGAAUUCAAUUUUUCAUACGUGUAAGGAGAAAUCAAGAUAUCAAGAUGCCUAGAUAAAUGGUAUAUAUUUAAUAAAAGUGAUUGGUUUUUUGCAUAUUUUCAAAAAAUCAAUUAAUGUCUUCAUCAGUUUUUUAAUUAGAUGUCUAACUUUUGCAUGACAUAUGCAAUGGAAUUAAUUUCCAAGACUUUAAAACAUGAUAGUGACUCCUCUUGGUAGUGUUAAGACCUACUUAAUUACUACCACAAAUUUCUCCUAAAAUUUCACCCUAAUAAUGAAUAACAAGUCGACCGUCAUGUGUGUUGCACAUUGAAUUUGCCCAUAUAUAUAUUCACACACACACAUUCACGAUUAACUUAAAGAGUACUACAUUGAGUAUGAUCUUCCUCUACUUUUACCUUUUUUGUAAAACUUUUUGGGAGUAAGGAAGGCCUAGUUAACUUAGUCUUGCAUAAAUAUGCAAUAAAAGCUUGAAAUUGUUUUUCUUUUUACUGAUUAUCUGAAUUUAACCCCAGAUUUUUUUUUUUCAUUAGCUCAAGUUAAGAAAAGAUUUUAUUAAACUCAUGAAGAUUACAAAGAGGGCUAUCUAAAGAAACAUAGAGUAAAACGCAAGAAACAGAAUAGAAGAGCCUCAAUUAAAACAUCCUUACCCUGACUGUGCUAAGAGAUGGAAAACCCCAACACAAGACCAUAAACACAAUAACAGGAAAGCAAUAACAUCAAACUAACAUUAGGGCAAUAGGAUGUGUUGCAAUAAAAACAAAACUUAUUUAGUAUAAUGAUGGCCUAAACUUCACUUAAAUUGAGAUGCUAUUAAGAAUUCCCUUGCUAAAAAGUCCAACUUCACCACUUGGAUAGAGCAAAGUAUAUGGUUCAUUGACAGAACCAACAUGAUUCUUCAGUUUCUUGUCCUUGUUCAUCCUUACGAUUUCUUCUUCAAUUUGAGCAAGUCUCUUAUGAAAAGCCUCAAAAGCUACUACUAGUAUUGAGUCUGUUGUCCAGUUCCGGGUUUGUUGUCUAAGAUAUACCUUGUUGGGAGGUGGGCCUACCUUUUAAAAUAAAUAUUCCACUCCCUUUUUGAUUAACAAAGCUUGCCUUAUAAAUCCUCAUUCGUGCAUAUAAUGAUCUCUUCGCUCUCAUUGUUAGGGAGUGGCUACUAAAGUCCUCCACAAGAAAUUAUAAGUUCCAAAAACCUUUGAUGGCAUCUAAGAAUGAAGAGAAAAAAAGAUAAAAGAGUUUUUGAUUUUUCUAACUUACAAACAACUCACGUUCACUCUUGGUUGUGUGUAAAAAACCAAUAUGUCCAUUCACUAUUUAUAUAUGUGUUAGGGAUAUAAAGAUAGGAUAUUACUUUUAAAUUUAAAUGUAAUUAAUCUUUAUUUAAAUUUAAAUAUAAUGGAUAGAUAAUUUUUAUUUACAUUUAAACAAAUUAAAUUUAAAUUUAUAUCCUAUCUCAACCGUUUUUAUUUACUUAUUCAAUUACAUUAAAUAAAUUAUGACCAAAAUAUGCUUUCAAAAUAUACACAAAUUAAAAGGAUGAAAGCAAGUCAAAACUUACUCUGAUAUCACUAUUAGGAGGUGGGCUUACAAUUUCAGAUAAAUAUUUUACUCUCUUUUUUAUCGAAAGAAGUUUGUCUUACAAUCUUCUUUCGUAUAUACAAUAAUCUCUUCGCUCUCAUUAUUAUGGAGCAUCUACAAUUAAGAUGAUGAAAGCAAGCCAAAACCUACUUUGAUAACAUUGUUGGGAGAUGGGCUUAUUUUUUUAGAUAAAUAUUUCUCUCACUUUUUUAUAGAAAAAACUUGUCUUACAAAUCCUCUUUCGUACACAAAAUGAUCUCUUUGCUCUCAUUAUUAUAGAGCGGAUAUUAGAGUCCUCCAUAAGGAAUUAUAUGUUUCAAAACCCUUUGGCUUUUAAUGGUGCUUCAAGAAUGAAGAGAAAAAAUAGUAGUUUUUCUAACUUACACAACAAGUUCACUCUUGGUUGUGUAAAAAACCACUACAUCUAUUCACUAUUUAUAGACGUGCUAGGGAUAUGGAAAUAAGAUAUUAUUUUUAAAUUUAAACAAAUUAAAUUUAAACAUAAUUAAUCCUUAUUUAAAUUUAAACAAAUUAAAUUUAAAUAUAAUAGAUAGAUAAUUUUUACUUAAAUUUAAAUUUAUAUUCUAUCUCAAAUGUUUUUUUAAUUAUUUAAUUAAAAAUAUCAAAAGUAUUUAUUAAUUAAUAAAUUAAAUAUUUUAUUAAUUAUUNAUUAUAUAUAAUAUAUAAUAUUAUUUUUAAAUUUAAACAAAUUAAAUUUAAACAUAAUUAAUCCUUAUUUAAAUUUAAACAAAUUAAAUUUAAAUAUAACGAAUAGCUAAUUUGAAUUUAUAUCUUAUCUCAAAUAUUUAUUAUUAAUUAUUCAAUUAAAAAUAUCAAAAUAAUAUCUAACAUUAAUUAAUUAAAUAUUUAUUAAUUAUUCGCAAAUAAUAAACAAAGUCACAUGAUAUGUGCAUGCACUACAUUUAAAUGCAACGCCCCUCAUCUGAUGCGUGCCUUGAUAGAACUUCUACCACGGACAUGCCAAUGAAGGUUUGUAGCUGUGAAGUAAUUGUUCUAAAGAAAGCCUUCUAUCAACUGCAGUCGAAUUGAAGUCGUUGAAGUCCAAAACAUUCCUCCUUGUUAAAACAACAGUGCCUCUGAUCUUCUCGGGUUUCUUUUGCCCGGUAAGAUCAUCGACAACAUUGCUAGCAGCAUUGAUCACUCCUCCGAUUAACAUAUCUUUUUUAUUUUCCUUUGCUAGAGAGAAAACGAGGAAUGCUAUAUCUGGUGUUGGAUUUCGAUGUGCCCAAAAGGUUCUUCUUCACUACAACAACAUAGCCUUGAAUCUUCUUCCGCUUGACAGGGUUGUUCAAUGCCAUUGGGCCAAUUCCAAAAUUCAUCUUUUGGUUCUUUGGCUAGGGCAACCAAUAUGAAGGAUGAUAUGAAAAGUGCAUGAAUGUUGUAUUCGAGGGGUUGUUGGUUUUGUAAAGAAGAAGUGUGGGGUAUUUAUAGAGAAAGAUUGGUCUAUAAGCCAAGGUAUAUUGUUUUCAUUUUUUUCAAUUAAAAAGUUUACGUGUUUUUUCUUUAAAAAAAAAGACACAUAUAAUCAUCAACGGAGCCAAAAUAAUGACGGUCACCAUCUCUCAAUUUUUAAUUUUCUUCAUUAUUAUAUAUAAAACUUGAGAUAUAUAAUAAGAUGAUUCUUAUGAUUACUCUUUAAUCACUUCUCAUACAAAAUAUUAAAUCCAUCACUGCAUACUAUGAGAUUCAAAAAAUCAUGCUCGACGAGAGUUUAUCUUGUCCCUCUCAUCUCAUAAAAUCUCAUAAUUUUGUUUUCAAUUUUGAAUUUGAAACUUAUAACAUGAAUUCUUUUAAGAUUGAUUGUAAAUCAUAUGCCAUGGAAGGAACUCAUCGAUUAAUUUUUAUUCAUCAAGUAAAUUACAUUGCAAUGAGACACCUCUAUGUAGUUUUUCACUAGUAUUUUUAGUGGAUUUUAAAUUUUACCAACAAAGAAGUGAUAGAGCACCCAUUAUUUAAGGUUUAUUGGCUACCAAAAUAUUGAUUAUUCAUUAAUGAUUAUUCAUUACGUGUCAAUCAUAAUUCAGCACACCCUAUAUAUAUAAUUGAAAAGAAAAGCACUUAAAACAAAACGUCUUAAAAAAAAUAAAACACAUUACAAUAUAUUAGAAUACAUUCUUUGCAUAUAAAACAUAAGGGCUGUGACAUUCGGAUAGGACAUAAAUAAUCACCAACGAAAAAGACAUAACACCGUAUAUGCCUCAUCACCAAAACACAUUGAAAAUGAGCAGGAGUAUUGCAUCACCCACCACAGUUUUUGGGAUAUAAAAGAAAAUCAAAAUUGGAAUUGGACCACUUUUAGUUUUAUUUUUCUAAAGUUUAUUUUUUUGGAUAACUCUUUUUUCUGUACAUAAAUAAUGUAACAAAGUUUUGUUUUUUGGAAAGAUAAAUCAUCAAUAAUUAAGUUAUAUAACCAAAUAUAUAAAUUUUUUCAAAUAAAGAGGCAAAAGUUAUAUAUUUAUCAAGACAGUGAAGAGAUAGCAAUCGUUAUAUAUCUAUCAAGCAAGAUAGCGAAGAGAUAGCAACAGAUUGGGGAAAACCUAUAUGUGUUGUUUGUGAAUCAUUUAAUAAAGAACAAAAGUAACCCUACUAAUAUGUGUUGUUUGUGAAUCAUUUAAUAAAGAACAAAAGUAACCCUACAUUAGUAUCUGAACAUUUAACUCAUUGGUUGGUGCAUAAUCUCUUUACUUAAAAAAUAUAGUUCAAAUUUCUCUUUCUUUAAUUAUAAGAAAAAAAAAAACAAAAGUAACCCAAUACUGUUUACAUGAGGACGAUGGGGAUGUUUCUCUUCAGCAUUUCGAGCAUUUAUUACCCAAAGAUUUCUAUUGUGGAUCUCUUUUUUUUUAUCACCACUCCAUUUGCUAUUUUAUCAUUUCAAUCAUAAUCAAUUAUCUUUAAGAUUUUUCUUUUAUAUUUAUUUAAACUCAUUGUAACCAAAUAGACGAUUGGAUUACCUCAUAAAAAAUGUUCAAUGUUCACAUAAAAUAUUGGAUCCUCUUUCUAUUUAUCAUAAAUUAAGUAACGCAACAAAAGAUAAACAUAUUUCUGAAAGAAAGACAGGAUUGGAUCAACCUCUGUGUAACUAUCAACCUGUGUGCAACUGUGAAUCAAAAAACCCAAUUUAGAUGAGAUGCUUGGGGACUAGCUUGGGACAUUUUCAAGGAAAUGGCAAAGAGCCACGUGAUGCAUGUGUUCUCUGACCAUUUUCUAGCAGUGUGAUCGAAAUUAAUCCAUUACGUUUUCCUCUUAGUGCAGCAAUGGUCAAAAGAUAGUGGGAGCCCCUCCCAUUCCUGAUCAAUGUUUUGGGUUAACUGUCAGAUAUGAUGUUGUAUUUAGAAGGUUAGGAAUUUUGCUUUUUAUUUUGUUUUGGGUCAUAAAGUCUCCCACUCUUGAUCCUGAAGACUUUCAUGUAUCUCUGCAAGUACUACUGGAACCUUGCUUUUUGUUAUUCUCUUUUGUGAGAAAUUAUGAGUAAUAAUAUUUUUAUCUUUCCAAAAAAAAUUCUGAUCAGUGUGGAAGGGAGGAUAAUUUUUGCAUGGCAUGGAGAAUUUCUAACUUUUGUAUGGCAUAUGAAAUUGGGGUUCAAGACUGACAAUUGAGAGUGACUUCUCUUGGUAGUGUGAAGGAGGCCAGCUCAAUUUCAAGCAAAUACGCCAAAAAAAUUUUCUCCUCAUUAAUUUUUAGUCGGUCGUCAAGUGUGUUGCACAUUCAAUCUGUCCAUAUGUAUAAGUCCAUGACUCGAAUAAUUGUUGAAUUCAAUUUUUCAUAGGUGUAAGGAGAAAUCAAGAUAUCAAGAUGACUAGAUAAAUGGUAUAUAUUUAAUAAAAGUGAUUGGUUUUUUGCAUAUUUUCAAACAAUCAAUUAAUGUCUUCAUAAGUUUUUUAGUUAGAUGUCUAACUUUUGCAUGACAUAUGCAAUGGAAUUAAUUUCCAAGACUUUACAACAUGAUAGUGACUCCUCUUGGUAGUGUUAAGACCUACUUAAUUACUACCACAAAUUUCUCCUAAAAUUUCGUCCUAUUUAUCAAUAACAAGUCGACCGUCAUGUGUGUUGCACAUUGAAUUUGCUAUAUAUAUAUAUAUACACACACACACACACACACACACAUUCACGAGUAACUUAAAGAGUACUACAUUGAGUAUGAUCUUCCUCUACUUUUACCUUUUUCAUAAAGCUUUUUGGGAGUAAGGGAGGCCUUAUUAACUUAGUCUUGCAUAAAUGUGCAACAAAAGCUUGAAAUUUUUUUUUUUUUACUGAUUAUCUGAAUUUAACCCCAGAUUUUUUUUUUCAUUAGCUCAAGUUAAGAAAAGAUUUUAUUAAACUCGUGAAGAUUACAAAGAGGGCUAUCUAAAGAAACAUAUAGCAAAACGCAAGAAACAGAAUAGAAAAGCCUCGAUUAAAACAUCCUUACCCUGACUUUGCUGAGAGAUGAAAACCCCAACACAAGAUCAUAAACAAAAUAACAGGAAAGCAAUAACAUCAAACUAACAUUAGGGCAAUAGGAUGUGUUGCAAUAACAACAAAACUUAUUUAGUAUAAUGAUGCCCUAAACUUCACUUAGGUUGAGAUGCUAUUAGGAUUUCCCUUGCCAAAAAGUCCAACUUCACCACUUGGAUAGAGCAAAAUGUAUGGUUCAUUGACAGAACCAACACGAUUCUUCAGUUUCUUGUCCUUGUUCAUCCUUAUGAUUUCUUCUUCAAUUUGAGCAAGUCUCUUAUGAAAAGCCUCAAAAGCUACUACUGGUAUUGAGUCUGUUGUCCAGUUCGGGGUUUGUUGUCCAAGAUACACCUUAUUGGGAGGUGGGCCUACCUUUUAAAAUAAAUAUUCUACUCCUUUUUGAUCAAAAAAGCUUGUCUUACAAAUCCUCAUUCAUGUAUACAAUGAUUUCUUCACUCUUGUUGUCAGGGAGCGACUACUAAAGUCGUUCAUAAAGAAUUAUAUGUUUCAAAACCCUUUGACCUUUGAUGGUGUCUCAAGAAUGAAGAGAAAAAAAGAGAAAAGAGUUUUUUAUUUUUCUAAUUUACAAACAACUCACGUUCACUCUUGGUUGUGUGUAAAAAACUAAUACAUCUGUUCACUAUUUAUAUACGUGUUAGGGAUAUAGUGAUAGGAUAUUACUUUUAAAUUUAAAAAAAUUAAAUUUAAAUGUAAUUAAUCUUAAUUUAAAUUUAAACAAAUUAAAUUUAAAUAUAAUGGAUAGAUAAUUCUUAUUUAAAUUUAAACAAAUUAAAUUUAUAUUUAUAUCCUAUCUCAACUGUUUUUUUUUACUUAUUCAAUUAUAUUAAAUAAAUCAUGAUCAAAAUAUGCUUUCAAAAUAUACACAAUUAAAAAGAUAAAAGCAAGUCAAAAGUUGUUUUGAUACCACUAUUAAGAGGUGAGCCUACCUUUUCAGAUAAAUAUUUCACUCCCUUUUUGAUCGAAAGAAGUUUGCCUUACAAUCUUCCUUCGUAUAUACAGUGAUCUCUUUGCUCUCAUUGUUAUGGAGCAUCUACAAUUAAGAUGAUGAAAGCAAGUCAAUACCUACUUUGAUGACAUUGUUGGGAGGUGGGCUUACUUUUUUAAAUAAAUAUUCCUCUCACUUUCUCAUAGAAACAACUUGCCUUACAAAUCCUCCUCCAUACACAAAAUGAUCUCUUUGCUCUCAUUAUUAUAGAGCGGAUACUAGAGUCCUCCAUAAGAAAUUAUACGUUUCAAAACCUUUUGGCUUUUAAUGGUGCCUUAAGAAUGAAGAGAAAAAAGAGUAGUUUUUUUAAUUUACACAACAAGUUCACUAUUAGUUGUGUAAAAAACCAAUACAUCUAUUCACUAUUUAUAGACGUGUUAGGAAUAUGAAAAUAAGAUAUUAUUUUUAAAUUUAAACAAAUUAAAUUUAAAUAUAAUAGAUAGAUAAUUUUAAUUUUAAUUUAAAUAAAUUAAAUUUAAAAUUAUAUUCUAUCUCAAAAUUUUUUAAUUAUUUAAUUAAAAAAUAUCAAAAUAAUAUUUAAAAUUAAUUAAUUGAAUAUUUAUUAACUAUUCACAAAUAAUAUACAAAGUUACAUGAUAUGUGCACGUAGUACAUUUAAAUGCUACACCCCUCAUCUGAUGCGUGCCUUGACAGAACUUCUACCACGGACAUGCUAAUGAAGGUUUGUAGCUGUGAAGUAAUUGUUCUGAAGAAAGCUUUCUAUCAACUGCAGUCGAAUUGAAGUCGUUGAAGUCCAAAACAUUCCUCCUCGUUAAAACAACAGUGCCUCUGAUCUUCUCGGGUUUCUUCUGCCCGGUAAGAUCAUCGACAACAUUGCUAGCAGCAUUGAUCACUCCUCCGAUGAACAUAUCUUUUUUAUUUUCCUUUGCUAGAGAGAAAACGAGGAAUGCUAUACCUGGUGUUGGAUUUCAAUGUGCCAAGAUGAGAGAAAUGUUUGGGUAUAUACUUAUAGAUCUCCAAUAAAAGAAUCUUAAAGCAUUCGUAAUCUAUGCUUUAGGUAUGCCAUGUAUACAACCGCAUGCAACCAAUGAUGAACACAUUUGUGGCAUUUCCUUUGGUUUUGUUCUUCUUUUGUCAGUUAAAACUUCGUAUCCUGAGCCCCAUGCAUGUUGUGAUUAACUAAAAUAAGGACACGAUAGCUUCAUUUAUAGAGAGGUUAAUCACCUCAGGACACAGACACUAUUUUUGUUAUCUUUUGCCCAAAACGAAGAAUUGCGCAAAUCCUGGAAGAGGAAAAAGGGCCUUGAUCGUGAUGCAUCAUGCAUGUGCAUUGCGACUCUUCGUUAUGGAAAUUAAGCCACAUUAGUUUUCUGCUAGGAUGACUAGGAUGAUCAGUAUAUGAAUCAGUGAUCUAUCUCUUUCUUCCAAUUUUCUGCUUUGCUUUUUUAUAGUUUAUGAAGCAGUAAAUGUAAUAUAUAUUAUAUUGUCAUAUGUAGCGAAUAUUAAUGGUAAAGAAUGAUUAGAAUAAAACAUAGCUAGGGUGCAUGGGAAUCGAUUUUUGUAACAAAAGACUAGCCCAAGUUGUUAAUAGUGAAUGAUUUAGAUCGUAUUAUAGUAUUUAAUAACUUUUAAAGACUAAAUCACAUGAUUUUCAAAAAUUUAAACCGAAGUUGCUAGUACUAAGUGAGUAUUUGUUUAUGUUUUGAGAGAAAAAUCAAUUAGCUUUGCAUAUAUACAUGGUUGUCAAUCCCGUUGAAUUGAAAUCAAUUUGCUUUGUGAUUUUGGAAUGAGAUCUGAUGAUAAGAGCAACAAGCAUAAAAGAUAAUAAUACGAUCCCAAACACAGGUACCUCACAUUUUUUUCAUUGGCUGAGCCAAGAAAAGAUUUUAUUGAACUAAAGACGAUUAAAGAGAGGGCAUCCCUGGAGCCAAACACAAGAAAUAAAACAGAGGAGGCUCAGCUGAAGCUACACUUAUUUAGUAUACAAUGAUGCCCUUAACUUCACUUAGAUCGAGAUGCUAUUAGGAAUUCCCUUGCCACAGAUUCCAACUUCACCAGUUGGGUAGAGCAAAGUGUAUGGCACAUUGACAGGACCAACACGAUUCUUCAAUUUCUUGUCCUUGUUCAUCCUUAUGAUUUCUUCUUCAAUUUCAGCAAGUCUCUUAUGGAAAGCCUCAAAAGCUGCCAAUGGUAUUGCAUCUGCCGUCCAGUUAGGGGAGGCUCGUUGACCAAGAUACACCUCAUCUGAUGCGUGCUUUGACAGAACUUCUACCACAGACAUGCCAAUGAAGGUUUGUAGCUGCGAAGUAAUUGUUCUGAAGAAAACCUUCUCGGGGUUUUUCUCAAGUUCAGCAUAUUCAGGAGUGCCUUUCUCAGGCAUGAG